This 170-nucleotide non-coding RNA is filed under the name unclassified sequences. The record is from Rfam.
UAGCGAAGUGGCUUAGAUACUGUAGAAAUUAUGCCCAUGAAGCGCAGAAACACCCCUGCAUGGACGCAGGGGUGAGGAGAACCGCGCCACGGACGGCGCGUUUCGACGGUUUCGUCAAGCAUAGAAACCCAUCAAGCAUAAUUUCGUACAGAAUCUUAGCCACGUAGCGU